GACUAACGCUGGCGGCGUGCUUAACACAUGCAAGUCGAACGAAGUGGCGGACGGGUGAGUAACGCGUAAUCAACCUGCCCUUCAGAGGGGGACAACAGUUGGAAACGACUGCUAAUACCGCAUACUGAAGGCGGGGAUCGCGUGGGAUUAGCUAGUUGGAGGGGUAACGGCCCACCAGGGCGAUGAUCAGUCGCCGGUCUGAGAGGAUGAACGGCCACAUUGGGACUGAGACACGGCCCAGACUCCUACGGGAGGCAGCAGUGGGGAAUCUUCCGCAAUGGACGAAAGUCUGACGGAGCAACGCCGCGUGAGUGAUGACGGCCUUCGGGUGGUAAAGCUCUGUUAAUCGGGACGCGGUACCGGAAUAGAAAGCCACGGCUAACUACGUGCCAGCAGCCGCGGUAAUUC
This 408-nucleotide ribosomal RNA is filed under the name uncultured bacterium. RNAcentral describes it as "partial 16S ribosomal RNA". It matches the Rfam family "Bacterial small subunit ribosomal RNA", at positions 28 to 526 of the family's 1533-position model. The record is from RNAcentral.